This is a long non-coding RNA of Zootermopsis nevadensis, 579 nucleotides long. RefSeq lists it as uncharacterized. The record is from RefSeq and is a predicted model, not a curated record. NCBI's taxonomy places the organism in Eukaryota, Metazoa, Arthropoda, Insecta, Blattodea, Termopsidae.
CAAGGGAUCACCGCUAAUAAACAAAGUAAAAUGUGUGAACUGUGGCAAACCUCAAAACUCACAUUUAUAGAAUACCAACAUAAAAAAGUGACAGUGGAACCACGGUUCCGGAGAAUUUGACGUAAAUACGUCUAUACGGUGCAAGGAAAUGCAAGUCAUCUGAGGAAGACAUAGCAGAAUAAUUCAAAUAUUCAGAAACGUCUGCAGGAAAUUCCAGGACAUGCUAGAGAAAAAGCAACAUGAGAUAAGCAGAUGGCAACAUUGUACAAAAGCAUAUCUGGAAAGAAGUCUAACCUCCCAUCUCAUAACAAAAGUAUCUGCUUUAUAUAAAGCUGUCAAAAUAUUUGGUAACACUGGAAUUGUGUACUACUAUUUUAAUCAAAACUCGACUCAUUUAUUAAUACACAAAAUAUACUUGUAACACUGUUCUAUUAAUUUUCAAGGGAAUACAGACAUAUUUUGACAAUGACCUCACUUUCUUUUAAAGAGGCACACAAAACCAAGUCAGUUGUCUGUGCAGUACUUACAGACAUAUCUUGGUGUAUCUAACAAAUGGCAAAAUAAAGUUAUUUCUAUAAA